UAAACUGACUUGCGAGCCUUAACGAGCUAAAUAGCACUGAACACAAGCUCAACUCAUUUAUUAACAAGUAUAAAAAUAAGGAUUGAGCUCAGCUAAGCCUUAAGCAAUUUGCAAGCAACUUGUUUUGUUUAUACCCCUACUUGUCAUAGAAAAGGGUUUGUUUUUUAGUGAUUCUUGAGGUCUUUAUUGAUGUUUUGGGGAGAAAGUUAUCUAUGAAUGGCUUGAAAGGCUUCUUGUGCCUCAGUUGUUUUAUUUCAAUAGUGAAACCUUGCUUUCCACUUCCAGACGGUGGAGACUGGUGGCAACUACUACAGAAACUUUAUUCUUUAAGCAUCUAUUGGUUUAGCUAGGGUUAUUAUGUCUCUUUGAGCCUUAUUUAUGAGGAGGCUAACUUGUGGGAGCCUUAAGUUUUCUUUUCUCUUUUUAGGUGAUCGGG
Molecule: unclassified non-coding RNA, 436 nt
Filed under: Hevea brasiliensis (rubber tree)
Lineage: Eukaryota; Viridiplantae; Streptophyta; Magnoliopsida; Malpighiales; Euphorbiaceae
Source: RNAcentral